UACGUAGGGUCCGAGCGUUGUCCGGAAUUACUGGGCGUAAAGAGCUCGUAGGUGGUUUGUCGCGUUGUUCGUGAAAACUCACAGCUCAACUGUGGGCGUGCGGGCGAUACGGGGCAGACUAGAGUACUGCAGGGGAGACUGGAAUUCCUGGUGUAGCGGUGGAAUGCGCAGAUAUCAGGAGGAACACCGGUGGCGAAGGCGGGUCUCUGGGCAGUAACUGACGCUGGAGGAGCGAAAGCGUGGGGAGCGAACAGG
This 255-nucleotide ribosomal RNA is filed under the name uncultured bacterium. RNAcentral's name for it is "partial 16S ribosomal RNA". It matches the Rfam family "Bacterial small subunit ribosomal RNA", at positions 524 to 776 of the family's 1533-position model. The record is from RNAcentral.